GACGAACGCUGGCGGCGUGCUUAACACAUGCAAGUCGAACGGAAAGGCCCUGCUUUUGUGGGGUGCUCGAGUGGCGAACGGGUGAGUAACACGUGAGUAACCUGCCCUUGACUUUGGGAUAACUUCAGGAAGCUGGGGCUAAUACCGGAUAGGAGCUCCUGCUGCAUGGUGGGGGUUGGAAAGUUUCGGCGGUUGGGGAUGGACUCGCGGCUUAUCAGCUUGUUGGUGGGGUAGUGGCUUACCAAGGCUUUGACGGGUAGCCGGCCUGAGAGGGUGACCGGCCACAAUGGGACUGAGAUACGGCCCAGACUCCUACGGUAGGCAGCAGUGGGGAAUAUUGCACAAUGGGCGGAAGCCUGAUGCAGCAGCGCCGCGUUCGGGAUGACGGCCUUCGGGUUGUAAACCGCUUUCGCCUGUGACGAAGCGUGAGUGACGGUAAUGGGUAAAGAAGCACCGGCUAACUACGUG
Molecule: ribosomal RNA, 468 nt
Filed under: uncultured bacterium
Lineage: Bacteria
Description: partial 16S ribosomal RNA
Rfam family: Bacterial small subunit ribosomal RNA
Source: RNAcentral